This 424-nucleotide ribosomal RNA is filed under the name uncultured Chitinophagaceae bacterium. Its description in RNAcentral is "bacterial SSU rRNA". It matches the Rfam family "Bacterial small subunit ribosomal RNA", at positions 355 to 776 of the family's 1533-position model. The record is from RNAcentral. Lineage: Bacteria; Pseudomonadati; Bacteroidota; Chitinophagia; Chitinophagales; Chitinophagaceae.
UAAGGAAUAUUGGGCAAUGGACGCAAGUCUGACCCAGCCAUGCCGCGUGGAGGAUGAAGGUCCUCUGGAUUGUAAACUUCUUUUAUCAGGGAAGAAAUCUGUGUAUUCUUACGCAGUUGACGGUACCUGAGGAAUAAGCACCGGCUAACUCCGUGCCAGCAGCCGCGGUAAUACGGAGGGUGCAAGCGUUAUCCGGAUUCACUGGGUUUAAAGGGUGCGUAGGCGGGUUUGUAAGUCAGUGGUGAAAUCCCCGAGCUUAACUUGGGAACUGCCGUUGAUACUAUAAAUCUUGAAUAUCGUGGAGGUGAGCGGAAUAUGUCAUGUAGCGGUGAAAUGCUUAGAGAUGACAUAGAACACCGAUUGCGAAGGCAGCUCACUACGCGAUUAUUGACGCUGAGGCACGAAAGCGUGGGGAUCAAACAGG